This 371-nucleotide ribosomal RNA is filed under the name uncultured bacterium. Its description in RNAcentral is "bacterial SSU rRNA". It matches the Rfam family "Bacterial small subunit ribosomal RNA", at positions 527 to 896 of the family's 1533-position model. The record is from RNAcentral.
GUAGGUGGCAAGCGUUGUCCGGAUUUACUGGGCGUAAAGCGCGCGCAGGCGGACUGAUCAGUCCGGGGUGAAAUCUCACGGCUCAACUGUGAGCGGUCCCCGGAUACUGUCAGCCUUGAGGGGUCUAGAGGAGAGCGGAAUUCCCGGUGUAGUGGUGGAAUGCGUAGAUAUCGGGAAGAACACCAGUGGCGAAAGCGGCUCUCUGGGGACCAUCUGACGCUGAGGCGCGAAAGCGUGGGGAGCGAACCGGAUUAGAUACCCGGGUAGUCCACGCCGUAAACGAUGAGCACUAGCUGUCGGGGGUAUCGACCCCUCCGGUAGCGCAGCUAACGCGAUAAGUGCUCCGCCUGGGGACUACGGCCGCAAGGCUA